RNAcentral lists this ribosomal RNA (372 nucleotides) under uncultured organism. RNAcentral describes it as "bacterial SSU rRNA". It matches the Rfam family "Bacterial small subunit ribosomal RNA", at positions 526 to 896 of the family's 1533-position model. The record is from RNAcentral.
CGUAGGGUGCGAGCGUUAAUCGGAAUUACUGGGCGUAAAGGGUGCGCAGGCGGCGUCGCAAGUCAGGCGUGAAAUCCCCGGGCUUAACCUGGGAAUUGCACUUGAAACUACGAUGCUGGAGUAUGGCAGAGGGAGGUGGAAUUCCACGUGUAGCGGUGAAAUGCGUAGAGAUGUGGAGGAACACCGAUGGCGAAGGCAGCCUCCUGGGCCAAUACUGACGCUCAUGCACGAAAGCGUGGGGAGCAGACAGGAUUAGAUACCCUGGUAGUCCACGCCCUAAACGAUGAUGACUAGUUGUUGGAGGAGUUAAAUCCUUUAGUAACGCAGCUAACGCGAGAAGUCAUCCGCCUGGGGAGUACGGUCGCAAGAUUA